ACCCAGAGGCUGUGUGGGAGGGAAGGCAUCACCCUUGCUGGAGGCUGGCGACAGCUGGUACUAUUCCCUGGUGCAAGCUCCUGAGGGAAGCAGGGCCACAGCUUUUUGGAAACACCCAUCUUGCCAUGUGCAAACAGGACCAGCUCAGAGUUGUGCCUGCAAUUCUCUCACUCCAGCCUCACCCUCCUGUGGAUCCCGUUUGCUGACUCUACACAGGUCCUGGGCUGGAGGGAAGACGGCCACCUAUGAACAAGGAAG
Molecule: long non-coding RNA, 258 nt
Organism: Myotis davidii
Lineage: Eukaryota; Metazoa; Chordata; Mammalia; Chiroptera; Vespertilionidae
Exons: 3
Source: RefSeq, a predicted model, not a curated record